GCUCAAGCUUGCAUUUGAGAGAUUGAUGCUUAAUACACUGUUGUCACUGCUCCACUUGAUUCCUCUCCAAGAAGAGAGAUUUCCAGCAUUGACCCAACUAGAGAGUGCAUCUCCCCCUUGGUUCUUGGGCUGCUCUUAAAGCAGAGCAAUGUGGCUUCAUGACCUUCAUAUGUUCCCGAGCACUUAGUUUGUGUGUCAGUGAAUGCCCCCUGCAGCGCGCAUAAGAGUGCCAGAAGCAAAAACCAUGAUAGCCAAAAGAGAUUCAUGCUUUUGAAGAAACUAUUGGCGUUGUGAACUCAGAAGCCACAUUUGUAGACUGGAUGACAGUCUUUUUUGUCUGGAAUUAGAAUUGUUCAAGAGUCUGCCGGCGCUGAGAUUCCAAAUCUCUCCCUUGAAUGCAGGUGGCGCACUGCAAAACCGGACGAAGCGGUUCACGCGGAAAGGAAUCCCUAUCGUCGUCACAACAAAACAAACUUCCAAGAUCUGUAAUAGCUGAUCGAAUAGGCUCCUCCAUUUCUAGGUCACACUAGAUUCCUGUUGUUUAUUCUAGAGGCCAUAUGCUUUCGACUGCUCACACACAAGCGGAAAAUCCUGGC
Molecule: long non-coding RNA, 596 nt
Filed under: Selaginella moellendorffii
Lineage: Eukaryota; Viridiplantae; Streptophyta; Lycopodiopsida; Selaginellales; Selaginellaceae
Description: long non-coding RNA (SMOE_LNC001490)
Source: RNAcentral